GAUCCAUAUGUUGGGUAAAUUAAUUACAAUCUGCAGAAAAAUCUUUGAUCAGACAAGGCAAUGGGAGCCCAGAAGGAAUCC
This is a non-coding RNA of Notechis scutatus (mainland tiger snake), 81 nucleotides long. NCBI's taxonomy places the organism in Eukaryota, Metazoa, Chordata, Lepidosauria, Squamata, Elapidae. The record is from RefSeq and is a predicted model, not a curated record.